AUAUCUUUCUCGGCCUUUUGGCUAAGAUCAAGUGUAGUAUCUGUUCUUAUCAGUUUAAUAUCUGAUAGAUGGGUCAUCGCGUCCCAUCCGAUAUUAACUCUAUUUUUUAAGGGAAAAAGCCUGUAAAGAUAGCUUGCUAUUUUAGGUUUUUAGAGUCGCCUAUGUUUUGCACUACUACAUGGGCCGGCUCAACCCAC
Raphanus sativus (radish) is the source of this 197-nucleotide small nuclear RNA. RefSeq annotates it as U2 spliceosomal RNA. The transcript has a single exon. NCBI's taxonomy places the organism in Eukaryota, Viridiplantae, Streptophyta, Magnoliopsida, Brassicales, Brassicaceae. The record is from RefSeq and is a predicted model, not a curated record.